CCGCGGCGGAGCGCAUGCGUGGCGGAGCCGUAACGAUUUCCCCCGGCAAGCUACUUGGCUCCUUCGGUUCCCCGUGCUAAACCUGUUAACUACAUUAGCGCAAAAUUAAUGUUACCUGAAGCAUAAAUUGAGCUGCUUGUAGUAUUCCCGUGGAGAAUAAGUGCGCUAAGGCUAUGGCUAGAACUAAAAGCAGAGCUUCUGCGUUUGGGCUAAACCUGGACUUUCUGAAUACAGAAGUUGCUGGUCUAGAGGUUGAAUCGGAGCUGCACCUGCUGGUCUGUGCCACAGCCACAGCCACACUGGAUCUGAGCCGCACCUGUGUUCUACACUGCAGCUUGCUGCAACACUGGAUCCUUAACCCACUGAGCAAGGCCAGUUUGAUGUGGGAUCAAACCCACAUCCUCGUGGAUACUAGUUCUUAACCCCAAUUAUAAUUCCUCCAAUUAUAAUUUUUAAUAAACAACUUAUUUAACUACCUGUAAGCUUGUAAGCCUCCCCAAUUUUGUAGUCCAGCAGAACACGAUUCAAGUGCUUCUCAAACCUGUGUCUCCCUCAGUAAAGAACUUAUAUAAAGCUAAACUCAUGAAGUUCCCACUGUGGCCCAACAGGAUCACAGCAUCUCUGCAGUGUUGGGAUGCAAGUUUGAUCCCUGGCCUGGCACAGUGGGUUAAGGACCUGGUGUUAGGCUGCAGUUGGCCCAGGAACUCCAUGGCUUUCCAUAUUACUUAGUGAAAAAUGCCCUACACUCCAUUACUUCUGUGAUCUCACUUGUUUUUUGUUGUUGUUGUUGUACCCGAGGCAUGUAGAAGUUCCUGGGUCAGGGAUUGAACUCACAGCACAGCAGUGACAAUACCGGAUCCUUAACCACUAGGCCACGAGGGAACUCCUGUAAUCUCAUCUACUGCUCUUUCCUUUACUCAUUCAGCUCCACAGCUACAGAAUCCUGACCCCUUGUUGUUCCUUGAACAUGCCAAGUAUAAUUUCACGUCAAGGCCUUUGCACUUGUUGCUUUCUGCCUGAAUUACUUAUCAUUCAAAUAGCUGCAUGGUUGGUUCCCUCACUCCUUUGGAUUUUUAUUCAAAAUCUUAGAGAAGCCUUUCCCAACCUCUCUACUUAAUUUUGAAGGCUGCUUGUCAUAGUUAAUCAGACCAAUUUUUUCUCUUUUUUUCUUUUUCCAUAAUACUUAUCACAGUAUUAGUCCUAGAUAAUUUACUUAUUAUAUUUAUUGCUUAUCAUCUGACUCCCUCUACUAGAAUGUCAGCUCCAUAAAGGCAGGAAUUACUGUUCACUGAUAGAUCUUAAAUGUCUGCAGUAGCACCUAGCACAGUUAAAUAUUUGUUGAAUUAAAGAACCACAUCUUUGGAGUUCCCGUGGUGGCUCAGUGGUAAUGAACCCAACUACUGAGGAUGCAGUUUCAACCCCUGGCCUCACUCAGUGGGUUAAGAAUCUGGCACUGCCAUGAGCUGUGUAGGUCACAGACACAGCUUAGAUCUGGCAUUGCUGUGGCUGUAGCAUAGGCUGGCAGCUACAGCUCUGAUUCAACCCCUUGCUGCAUCUGCUGCUGCUGGCCUACACCACAGCCACAGCAACACCAGAUCUGAGCUGCAUCUGCCAACUGCAGGUUUGAUCCCUGGCCUCACUCAGUGG
RNAcentral lists this long non-coding RNA (1647 nucleotides) under Sus scrofa (pig). RNAcentral describes it as "lncRNA (ENSSSCG00030053979.1)". Lineage: Eukaryota; Metazoa; Chordata; Mammalia; Artiodactyla; Suidae. The record is from RNAcentral.